GCUCCCUUCGUCUAGCGGUCCAGGACGCUGGCCUCUCACGCCGGUAACAGGGGUUCGAUUCCCCUAGGGAGUACCA
This 76-nucleotide transfer RNA is filed under the name Olavius algarvensis Gamma 1 endosymbiont. It matches the Rfam family "tRNA". From Rfam's summary of the family: Transfer RNA (tRNA) molecules are approximately 80 nucleotides in length. Their secondary structure includes four short double-helical elements and three loops (D, anti-codon, and T loops). RNAcentral also lists the same sequence under 4 other names. The record is from RNAcentral. Lineage: Bacteria; Pseudomonadati; Pseudomonadota; Gammaproteobacteria.